This 531-nucleotide ribosomal RNA is filed under the name Trigonopterus sp. 129 AR-2022a. Its description in RNAcentral is "partial large subunit ribosomal RNA". Lineage: Eukaryota; Metazoa; Arthropoda; Insecta; Coleoptera; Curculionidae. The record is from RNAcentral.
GGSWUAUUGAUUAUAAUUUUAGGUYUGACCUGCCCAMUGAGGAGUUAAAUGGCCGCGGUAUACUAACCGUGCAAAGGUAGCAUAAUCAUUAGUUUUUUAAUUGAAAGCUUGAAUGAAAGGUUUGAUGAAAAAAGUUCUGUCUCUACAAGAAUUUGUUAGAAUUUUAUUUUUAAGUUAAAAAGCUUAAAUUUAUAUAGAAGACGAGAAGACCCUAUAGAGUUUUAUAUUUAUAUAUUUAAUAAGUCUUUAGGUAUUUUUGGUUUGUUUUUUGUGUAAUUAUUUUGUUGGGGUGAUAGAAAAAUUAAUUAAACUUUUUUUUAAUAAAUACAUUGAUUUAUGAAUAAUUGAUCCUUAAAUUUAGAUUAUAAGAUUAAAUUACCUUAGGGAUAACAGCGUAAUUUUUUUUAGAGUUCUUAUCGAAAAAAAAGAUUGCGACCUCGAUGUUGGAUUAAAAUUAAUUGUUGGUGUAGAAGCUAAUAAUAUUAGGUCUGUUCGACCUUUAAAAUUUUACAUGAUCUGAGUUUAGACCGG